This 253-nucleotide ribosomal RNA is filed under the name uncultured prokaryote. Its description in RNAcentral is "partial 16S ribosomal RNA". It matches the Rfam family "Bacterial small subunit ribosomal RNA", at positions 524 to 776 of the family's 1533-position model. The record is from RNAcentral.
UACGUAGGGUCCGAGCGUUGUCUGGAAUUAUUGGGCGUAAAGAGCUCGUAGGCGGUUUGUCGCGUCUGCUGUGAAAACUGGAGGCUCAACCUCCAGCCUGCAGUGGGUACGGGCAGACUAGAGUGCGGUAGGGGAGAAUGGAAUUCCUGGUGUAGCGGUGGAAUGCGCAGAUAUCAGGAGGAACACCGAUGGCGAAGGCAGUUCUCUGGGCCGUAACUGACGCUGAGGAGCGAAAGCGUGGGGAGCGAACAGG